RNAcentral lists this ribosomal RNA (214 nucleotides) under uncultured bacterium. Its description in RNAcentral is "partial 16S ribosomal RNA". It matches the Rfam family "Bacterial small subunit ribosomal RNA", at positions 1287 to 1500 of the family's 1533-position model. The record is from RNAcentral.
CUCAGUUCAGAUUGCAGGCUGCAACCCGCCUGCAUGAAGUCGGAAUUGCUAGUAAUCGCGGAUCAGCAUGCCGCGGUGAAUACGUUCCCGGGCCUUGUACACACCGCCCGUCACACCAUGAGAGUCGGAAACACCCGAAGCCUGUAGUCCAACCGCAAGGAGGGCGCAGUCGAAGGUGGGUCUGAUAAUUGGGGUGAAGUCGUAACAAGGUAAC